GAUGAACGCUGGCGGCGUGCUUAACACAUGCAAGUCGAACGGAAAGGCUCCUGCUUGCAGGGGUACUCGAGUGGCGAACGGGUGAUUAACACGUGGGUGAUCUGCCCUGCACUUCGGGAUAAGCCUGGGAAACUGGGUCUAAUACCGGAUAGGACGAUGGUUUGGAUGCCAUUGUGGAAAGUUUUUCGGUGUGGGAUGAGCUCGCGGCCUAUCAGCUUGUUGGUGGGGUAAUGGCCUACCAAGGCGUCGACGGGUAGCCGGCCUGAGAGGGUGUACGGCCACAUUGGGACUGAGAUACGGCCCAGACUCCUACGGGAGGCAGCAGUGGGGAAUAGUGCACAAUGGGCGCAAGCCUGAUGCAGCGACGCCGCGUGGGGGAUGACGGCCUUCGGGUUGUAAACUACUUUCGCUAGGGACGAAGCGCAAGUGACGGUACCUGGAGAAGAAGCACCGGCUAACUACGUG
RNAcentral lists this ribosomal RNA (465 nucleotides) under uncultured bacterium. Its description in RNAcentral is "partial 16S ribosomal RNA". It matches the Rfam family "Bacterial small subunit ribosomal RNA", at positions 28 to 507 of the family's 1533-position model. The record is from RNAcentral.